GGUUUUAUGGUCUAGGGGUCCGGACAUUGGACUCUGAAUCCAGUAACUCGAGUUCAAGUCUCUAUGGAAUCU
This 72-nucleotide transfer RNA is filed under the name Macleaya cordata. It matches the Rfam family "tRNA". Rfam says of the family: Transfer RNA (tRNA) molecules are approximately 80 nucleotides in length. Their secondary structure includes four short double-helical elements and three loops (D, anti-codon, and T loops). The record is from Rfam by way of RNAcentral. Lineage: Eukaryota; Viridiplantae; Streptophyta; Magnoliopsida; Ranunculales; Papaveraceae.